RNAcentral lists this ribosomal RNA (91 nucleotides) under uncultured archaeon. RNAcentral's name for it is "partial 16S ribosomal RNA". The record is from RNAcentral.
CUCCCUCGUUGCUGAUCUCAGGUUCGAUAAUGCCAAUAUCGCACCACCUCGCCUAAAACCAACUUCGAUGAAGCGACGGGCGGUGUGUGCG